AACGGUGACAUCAGAGCUUGCUCUGGUUGAUCAGUGGCGAACGGGUGAGUAACACGUGAGUAACCUGCCCUUGACUCUGGGAUAACUCCGGGAAACCGGGGCUAUACCGGAUACGAGACGCGACCGCAUGGUCGGCGUCUGGAAAGUUUUUCGGUCAAGGAUGGACUCGCGGCCUAUCAGCUUGUUGGUGAGGUAAUGGCUCACCAAGGCGUCGACGGGUAGCCGGCCUGAGAGGGCGACCGGCCACACUGGGACUGAGACACGGCCCAGACUCCUACGGGAGGCAGCAGUGGGGAAUAUUGCACAAUGGGCGAAAGCCUGAUGCAGCGACGCCGCGUGAGGGAUGAAGGCCUUCGGGUUGUAAACCUCUUUCAGUAGGGAAGAAGCGAAAGUGACGGUACCUGCAGAAGAAGCGCCGGCUAACUACGUGCCAGCAGCCGCGGUAAUACGUAGGGCGCAAGCGUUGUCCGGAAUUAUUGGGCGUAAAGAGCUCGUAGGCGGUUUGUCGCGUCUGGUGUGAAAACUCAAGGCUCAACCUUGAGCUUGCAUCGGGUACGGGCAGACUAGAGUGUGGUAGGGGUGACUGGAAUUCCUGGUGUAGCGGUGGAAUGCGCAGAUAUCAGGAGGAACACCGAUGGCGAAGGCAGGUCACUGGGCCACUACUGACGCUGAGGAGCGAAAGCAUGGGGAGCGAACAGGAUUAGAUACCCUGGUAGUCCAUGCCGUAAACGUUGGGCACUAGGUGUGGGGCUCAUUCCACGAGUUCCGCGCCGCAGCUAACGCAUUAAGUGCCCCGCCUGGGGAGUACGGCCGCAAGGCUAAAACUCAAAGGAAUUGACGGGGGCCCGCACAAGCGGCGGAGCAUGCGGAUUAAUUCGAUGCACCGCGAAGAACCUUACCAAGGCUUGACAUA
RNAcentral lists this ribosomal RNA (913 nucleotides) under Sanguibacter inulinus. RNAcentral's name for it is "bacterial SSU rRNA". It matches the Rfam family "Bacterial small subunit ribosomal RNA", at positions 65 to 988 of the family's 1533-position model. Lineage: Bacteria; Bacillati; Actinomycetota; Actinomycetes; Micrococcales; Sanguibacteraceae. The record is from RNAcentral.